GAAAUAGUGCUGCUUCAAUGUACCAUUGAUGAGCAGUUUCCUCCUACGCGAGUUGUCUUCUGCAAGAAUGGGCUGGAGGAGUUCAGCCUGAAAGCCCAGCAGGGAAAGGUCAUCUACACUAUGGACCUGAACAUCACCUCCAGAAGUGCUGGGACAUACACGUGUGGGUACCAGCAGAGGAACAAGGAAAACUGGGCGAGGAACUCUGCUCUCAGUGCUCCCCGGACCUUGUCUGUGGCAGGUGAGACACGGCCCCACGGCGGUGAGGGUAGAAGGUUUCAGAAAACUGCUGGGGCUAGAGCUGUGUGCUGCAGCAGAGAGGGCAUGGCUCUGGGGUGGUUCCCCCUCGGGACUGUUCCCUCUCCUCAGAGGCAGCCCCUACAGAGAGACAUGCCCGGAUUCUGCACACCCUCCCCACAGGCAGGGUGCUGGCAGUGGCGGCCGUCGGCCUUGUCCUCCUGGCUGCAGGCAGCUGGUUUUGCCAUCAGGAAAGGUGCCUGCAGAGGGAGAUGCCCAAGACUCCACCAUCGCCCACGUUCAACGGGACAGGCCUCGUCCCGCGCAGCAAAUGAGAAACACCACGACAUAUGCCACGGUGACCCACACCCAGACCCGAUAGCAUUGCCACAGGGCAAGGGCACAGGAGCCUUGCCCACAGCUGCCUUUGCUCUCCUGCAGAG
Molecule: long non-coding RNA, 680 nt
Filed under: Anas platyrhynchos (mallard)
Lineage: Eukaryota; Metazoa; Chordata; Aves; Anseriformes; Anatidae
Description: lncRNA (ENSAPLG00020012826.1)
Source: RNAcentral